Molecule: ribosomal RNA, 428 nt
Filed under: uncultured bacterium
Lineage: Bacteria
Description: bacterial SSU rRNA
Rfam family: Bacterial small subunit ribosomal RNA
Source: RNAcentral
ACGCUGGCGGCAUGCCUAACACAUGCAAGUCGAACGAGAUCUUCGGAUCUAGUGGCGCACGGGUGCGUAACGCGUGGGAAUCUGCCCUUUGCUUCGGAAUAACAGUUAGAAAUGACUGCUAAUACCGGAUGAUGUCUUCGGACCAAAGAUUUAUCGGCAAAGGAUGAGCCCGCGUAGGAUUAGGUAGUUGGUGGGGUAAAGGCCUACCAAGCCGACGAUCCUUAGCUGGUCUGAGAGGAUGAUCAGCCACACUGGGACUGAGACACGGCCCAGACUCCUACGGGAGGCAGCAGUGGGGAAUAUUGGACAAUGGGCGAAAGCCUGAUCCAGCAAUGCCGCGUGAGUGAUGAAGGCCUUCGGGUCGUAAAGCUCUUUUACCAGGGAUGAUAAUGACAGUACCUGGAGAAUAAGCUCCGGCUAACUCCGUG